Molecule: long non-coding RNA, 4311 nt
Filed under: Sus scrofa (pig)
Lineage: Eukaryota; Metazoa; Chordata; Mammalia; Artiodactyla; Suidae
Description: lncRNA (ENSSSCG00015072502.1)
Source: RNAcentral
UUUUUUUCUUUUUUUCUCUUUUUAGGGCCACAUCCCCAGCAUAUGGAGGUUCCCAGGCUGGGGGAGAAUCGGAGCUGUAGCCACCGGCCUACACCAUAGCCACAGCCAUGCCAGAUCUGAGCCGUGCCUGCAACCUACCCCACAGCUCACGGCAACACCAGAUCCUUAACCCACUGAGCAAGGCCAGGGAGUGAACCUGCAUCCUCAUGGAUGCUAGUUGUUUAACCGCAGAGCCAUGAAGAGAACUCCCACUUUGGCGUUUCUGAAGGAGAAAAACAGCUUUAGGAUUGAAGAAAAGGGAAGAAGACUAAGUCGUUGCCUCAAUCUCAUUCAGGGCUUAGAAAAUACCUGAAAAGCAAUGUGGCCUGCUCCCUCCCUCUCUUCCCUACCACACACAGAAUACGGUUUUCAAUUACUAUGACCUGAUCAGCUUUCUAGUGAGGAAAGCCAAAAACGGAAUCAAGACUUCUCUAGCCUGUUAUCUUAAUAUAAUUUUUCUGGCCUAUUAUCUAAAUAAAAUUAAAUCAACUUUGCUCUCAGGUUUUACUACAUUCAAGGAUUCAAGUACCCAGUCCCAACGUUCCUUUCUUAUCUGUUUACUGACAAUCAAUUCCUUCAAUAGCCAGCAUAUGUAAGUGACUAAUACUAGAAAAUUUUCUAAAUAAAAGAAGAGCUAAGUGGAUGCCUAAAGGAGGGAGUUCAUUAAAUGAUGAGAGAAAGAAUACAGAAAGGGAAUGCUAGAAAUACCAAAGACACAAUUAUUUUAUGUUUUUACCUAAGAGGUACGUUUUGUCCGCCUUCAAAUAUAUCUAGACAAGUAUUAACAGCAAUAACCCUAACUGCAGAAACACAAAGCUUAGUGGGGCCUACCACUUUUUAAAAGUAUGAUGCAGUUCACCCUAAACCAGGCAUGAAUCAUAAAGAUGUGUUUUAAUACAGCAAACCUCACUAUAAGGGAUAUUUCACCCCAGAAUACUACUUAGUCAAUGCAUUACUAUAAUUACACAACUUAACUAAGGCUGGUGAUAAAAGAUUUUGAAAACAAUACAAUUUCAAUUGUAAUGCAAUUCUAAGAGGCUCCCUUCUACAAAAAUACAGCAUAAGAAGAAUAGUUAAUAAAUAUCACACCCUGGCAUAAAGCGUUUUUUAAAGUAAAUGUAUUUUUAUACCAUAUGGUCACAUUAUCCCUUAUUAUACCAUACGGUGGUAGAAAAAAAGUAACAUCAGGAAAGUUUAAAUGGUCAUAAGUAAUGUUUGAUGCCAAAAGCAUAAGCACAUUCAUUCAAUAAAUAUUUAAUAAGCUCCUGCCAUUUACCAGAAUAUUCUAUUUUGAGCAUCUCCAAAGUAAUACUUACAAAUACAGGACAAGAAAUUUGUUCGCUUUCCAGUAUAAUUUUAAAAACUAAAUCUACAUGUAUGCUCAAGAUGUUUGAUAAGAAUAAAAAAGUUUGAAAUAACCUAAUAUAAAAAAAUUAGUUAAAACCACAGUCUUUUUAUUUUUUAUUUUUUUAGGGCCACAUCCACAGCACAUGGAGAUAGAUUCCCAGGCUAGGUGUCUAAUUGGAGCUACAGCUGCCGACCUCUGCCACAGCCACAGCAAUGCCAGAUCCCAGCCGUGUCUGAGACCUACACCACAGUUCACGGCAGCACCAGAUCCUUGGCCAACUGAGUGAGGCCAGGGAUCCAAACCGCAACCUCAUGGUUCCUAUUUGGAUUCAUUUCUGCUACACCACAACAGAAACUCCAAAAUCAUGGUUUAUCUCAUAUGACAAUGUUUUGCCAUAUGAGUUUAAAAAUAUACGAAACCACAUACAUUGCAUUAUACAAGCAUAAAAAAAGAGUAUGCGGAUAUACACUAAAAUGUUUAUGGUAAUUUUAUCUUAUUGGCAAGAUUACAGAUAAUUUUCUAAAGCUUUUUGUAUUUAUACUUUUCUAAUUUUUCAGUAACAGAUGUGCUUUCCCUCUAAGAAACUUUUUAAAACCUGUAUUUUACUGUCAAAUAUGGUAAUUCUUUAGACUGAAAUGUGUCAUUUUACACAAGCACAUUUUUUCAUUUCUUUCCAUGUACUUGACAAUGAUAUCUCUUUAGUACAAAUGCAGAAGACAGUUCAAUUAAAAGAUCACAGUAUAUUUCAGUUUCCAUUGAAUUAACAAAUACCAACUUCAAAUUUAAAAUUACUUCUUGGAGGAAUUUACCAUACAUAACAUCGACUAUCUAUAUUCAAAACAGAUUCAUUUUUAAUCUUUUACUCCCCUCCCCCCUGUCAAAUAUAUUUAUUAUAAGUUCCUAUAAGAAAACAUGGAGGAAAAACUACUAUUCAUCACUAACCAUAAAAACCUGAACGGAGGCAGCAGUGGGAAACACGUCUAACUGAAAUUAGUUAAGAGUAUCCUUAUGGUUUCAAGAGAUACUAAUAUGCUUUCUAAUAUUGCCAAUUUAAAUUCGAAUUCAUCUAGCCUAGAGGUUCUCAAGCAUUGACACAUGAGAACUGCCCAGGAAGUGUGCCAAAUACCGAAAUCGACGGCCCUAGGUCUCACCUACUGAAUCAGACUCUAUUGGGGGUAGAGCUCAAUCUGGCCCUUUCAAAUUAGAUAGCAGACAGUGUACUUAACAAAAGCCUUCUCUACAUCACUGCAAACUGUUCUAAUAACUCUGAAACAAAUUUCUCAAUGAAAACAAUGUUAUAAUCAGAGAAUUACAAUUUCAUAACCCAUACCCUUUAAUUUACCCCUUCUUCUACAUACAUUCAACAAAACCACACAUGGCACCAAAGUAAAGCCAGCCUAGAGGCACCUGUGCCAGUAAGACAAAGGCAUAUCCGAUUCAUGGAAAAAAUAGACAGCAGAUGUGACCCCCUAGUAUUUACCCAUUAAAAACAAUGUAUCCUAAAAAUAAAUUUCCAUGUCAACGGAACAAAGCUGUUUAUAAAUAAGAAGGAAUGUGGAGGUGUGGGGAAGACAAGAGGAAGCUUCAGCAAGUUAAGUACCAAAAGCCAGGAAACAAGGCAGAAUGAAUGGCAACUGGGGACAAGGAAAACAAAAUAAAGAAGAAAAGAAGAGCGCUAUCCUUACAAUCCAAGAAGUUGGGGGAAAUGAACAGAUAUUAGAGGAAACUGAUCUGAGCAGAUAUUAGAGGAAACUGAAUUGAGAUAUGCAAACAGCAAAUAAGUGGAUAGUGGUGUCAAAAAAAAAAAACAUAAGAAAUUUAGGUGAGAUCAAAUGAUGGUACAGAGCAUCAUGAAGGCGGUAUAAAAGGAUGAAAAACAAAUAUUAUUGCGAACAAAGUGAUAAUGAACAGGGCAAGCACACUGAAUUUCCACAGUAAAGGUGAUGAAGCAGGAAAAAGAAUUGCACGGAAAGAGAAAGGAAUGAGACAUUAUAAGAAUUGGGAAACAAAAUAUAGAUACUGUAGUAGGAAGGAAAGAACUUUGAGCAAAGUCAACAGAGUAAGUCAUUAUCUAAUCAAUAACUGUAAAGUACAGUUAUUAUACCAUGUAUUAUCUCAUUAUUUGUGAAGUAUAAUAAAGGGUAUUAUUUUAUGUAAUACAAUACCAACACAAAUGUAAUAAAUUUUUGGUAAUAAAAACCAAAAUGUAAACCAAGUAAUUUGACAAGGUGAUAAGAGGUGAAUAAUGCAAAAGCAGGCUGAGAGAAGCAAGGGCUAAAGAGGAAAAAGCAAAAAAAAAGGGGGGGACAAAAAGGAGGACAACAGCAAGAAUUCAAACGUAUAAAACAGGUAGGAAGACACAAAGACGUGCGAAUGCACAAAUGGAAGACUAAAAAGUGGCAGGACUGCAAGUGAAACCUGAUGGAAUCUUGACAGCUUCAGGAUUCAGAAAGUAAGUAGCUCCAAAGCGUCCAGAAGGAUUUGUGACGGUAACAAUAGAUAACAAGUUAGGGAGCAGUGGGAAGACGUGGAAGGCCUCAAGAGGACCAGGGUAAGAGAAGUGCAAAAAUGGUCUUAAGUAGAAGCUGAGGUUAGAAGGCAGGCCAGUCCAACUACUGGCAAAGGAGCCGGGUGGCAGAUGGGAAUGGGAUGGGGGUUACCAGUCGGCGACAGAGCACUGACAAACAUUAGGAACCGGGGAACAAGACCGGGGUGGAAAAAAGAACGGAAACAGUGGCAUUUACGGUAGAAAAAGUAAAGACUAAAUCAAAACCAUCCGCUGGUUAAAACAGGUGAAGAGAAACCCCCCCUCCCCCGCCUCCACCACCACCACCACCACCAAGUAGAGAAGUGGAAGGGAGAGCAGCGGCCUGAAAAGGGAGACAGUCAUGGAGAGCAGAGGGAAUGAGGAGCCCCAUCAUCAC